AGCGAACGCUGGCGGCGUGCCUAACACAUGCAAGUCGAACGUGAACGGGGGCAACCCUUAGUAAGGUGGCGUACAGGUGAGUAACACGUAGGUAAUCUACCCUAGAGUCUGGAAUAACCGGCCGAAAGGCUGGCUAAUACUGGAUAGAGCGACGGAACUCGUAAAGAGUUUUUCGGGAAAGGGAGCUCGCAAGAGCCCUCGCUUUAGGAUGAGCCUGCGUCCCAUCAGGUAGUUGGUAGGGUAAUGGCCUACCAAGCCUUUGACGGGUAGCUGGUCUGAGAGGAUGAUCAGCCACACUGGAACUGAAACACGGUCCAGACUCCUACGGGAGGCAGCAGUGGGGAAUCUUGCGCAAUGGGCGAAAGCCUGACGCAGCCACGCCGCGUGAGUGAAGAAGGCCUUCGGGUUGUAAAGCUCUGUCGGGAGGGACGAACAUCAUUGGUGUUAACAGCGCCAGUGACUGACGGUACCUCCAAAGGAAGCACCGGCUAACUUCGUGCCAGCCGCCGCCGUAA
RNAcentral lists this ribosomal RNA (515 nucleotides) under uncultured bacterium. RNAcentral's name for it is "partial 16S ribosomal RNA". It matches the Rfam family "Bacterial small subunit ribosomal RNA", at positions 29 to 523 of the family's 1533-position model. The record is from RNAcentral.